CGCGUAGGUGGUAGUGCAAGUCUGGGGUGGAAUCCUAUGGCUUAACCAUAGAAUUGCCUUGGAAACUGUAUUACUUGAGUCAGUGAGGGGAGGGUAGAAUUCCUGGUGUAGCGGUGAAAUGCGUAGAUAUCAGGAGGAAGGCCUGUGGCGAAGGCGGCCCUCUGGCGCUGAACUGACACUGAGGCGCGAAAGCGUGGGGAGCAAACAGGAUUAGAUACCCUGGUAGUCCACGCCCUAAACGGUGGGUACUAGGUGUAGGGCUCGUAAGGGUUCUGUGCCGAAGCGAAAGCAUUAACGUACCCCGCCUGGGGAGUACGGGCCGCGAAGGUUGAAA
RNAcentral lists this ribosomal RNA (334 nucleotides) under uncultured bacterium. RNAcentral's name for it is "bacterial SSU rRNA". It matches the Rfam family "Bacterial small subunit ribosomal RNA", at positions 568 to 899 of the family's 1533-position model. The record is from RNAcentral.